GCCAGUGUGGUGCAGUGGUUUGAGUGUUGGGCUAGGACUCUAGAGACCUGGGUUCGAAUCCUGGCUGGGCCU
Molecule: non-coding RNA, 72 nt
Organism: Phrynosoma platyrhinos (Desert horned lizard)
Lineage: Eukaryota; Metazoa; Chordata; Lepidosauria; Squamata; Phrynosomatidae
Source: the annotation of a GenBank genome assembly